This 254-nucleotide ribosomal RNA is filed under the name uncultured bacterium. RNAcentral describes it as "partial 16S ribosomal RNA". It matches the Rfam family "Bacterial small subunit ribosomal RNA", at positions 524 to 776 of the family's 1533-position model. The record is from RNAcentral.
UACGUAGGUGGCAAGCGUUGUCCGGAUUUACUGGGCGUAAAUCGUAUGUAGGCGGAUCGUUAAGUCGGGGGUGAAAUCCCGAGGCUCAACCUCGGAACUGCCUUCGAUACUGGCGAUCUUCGAGUCCGGGAGAGGUGAGUGGAACUCCGAGUGUAGAGGUGAAAUUCGUAGAUAUUCGGAAGAACACCAGUGGCGAAGGCGGCUCACUGGCCCGGUACUGACGCUGAAAUACGAAAGCGUGGGGAGCAAACAGG